GGGUUCGUAGCUCUAAUUGGGAGAGCGCCUGUCUUGCACACAGAAGGUUGUGAGUUCAAACCUCACCGAAUCCA
This 74-nucleotide transfer RNA is filed under the name Calothrix sp. PCC 7507. Its description in RNAcentral is "tRNA-Ala (TGC) (tRNA-Ala-TGC-2-1)". It matches the Rfam family "tRNA". From Rfam's summary of the family: Transfer RNA (tRNA) molecules are approximately 80 nucleotides in length. Their secondary structure includes four short double-helical elements and three loops (D, anti-codon, and T loops). The record is from Rfam by way of RNAcentral. Lineage: Bacteria; Bacillati; Cyanobacteriota; Cyanophyceae; Nostocales; Calotrichaceae.